This 1192-nucleotide ribosomal RNA is filed under the name uncultured Pseudomonas sp. Its description in RNAcentral is "partial 16S ribosomal RNA". It matches the Rfam family "Bacterial small subunit ribosomal RNA", at positions 42 to 1256 of the family's 1533-position model. The record is from RNAcentral. Lineage: Bacteria; Pseudomonadati; Pseudomonadota; Gammaproteobacteria; Pseudomonadales; Pseudomonadaceae.
GCGCGGCCUACCAUGCAGUCGAGCGGUAGAGAGAAGCUUGCUUCUCUUGAGAGCGGCGGACGGGUGAGUAAUGCCUAGGAAUCUGCCUAGUGGUGGGGGAUAACGUUCGGAAACGGACGCUAAUACCGCAUACGUCCUACGGGAGAAAGCGGGGGAUCUUCGGACCUCGCGCCAUUAGAUGAGCCUAGGUCGGAUUAGCUAGUUGGUGAGGUAAUGGCUCACCAAGGCGACGAUCCGUAACUGGACUGAGAGGAUGAUCAGUCACACUGGAACUGAGACACGGUCCAGACUCCUACGGGAGGCAGCAGUGGGGAAUAUUGGACAAUGGGCGAAAGCCUGAUCCAGCCAUGCCGCGUGUGUGAAGAAGGUCUUCGGAUUGUAAAGCACUUUAAGUUGGGAGGAAGGGUAGUAACCUAAUACGUUGCCACUUUGACGUUACCGACAGAAUAAGCACCGGCUAACUUCGUGCCAGCAGCCGCGGUAAUACGAAGGGUGCAAGCGUUAAUCGGAAUUACUGGGCGUAAAGCGCGCGUAGGUGGUUCAGUAAGUUGGAAGUGAAAUCCCCGGGCUCAACCUGGGAACUGCUUUCAAAACUGCUGAGCUAGAGUACGGUAGAGGGUGGUGGAAUUUCCUGUGUAGCGGUGAAAUGCGUAGAUAUAGGAAGGAACACCAGUGGCGAAGGCGACCACCUGGACUGAUACUGACACUGAGGUGCGAAAGCGUGGGGAGCAAACAGGAUUAGAUACCCUGGUAGUCCACGCCGUAAACGAUGUCAACUAGCCGUUGGAAUCCUUGAGAUUUUAGUGACGCAGCUAACGCGUGAAGUCGACCGCCUGGGGAGUACGGCCGCAAGGUUAAAACUCAAAGGAAUUGACGGGGACCCGCACAAGCGGUGGAUGAUGUGGAUUAAUUCGAUGCAACGCGAAAAACCUUACCUACCCUUGACAUGUCUGGAACCUUGCUGAAAGGGAAGGGUGCCUUCGGGAGCCAAAACACAGGUGCUGCAUGGCUGUCGUCAGCUCGUGUCUGAAAUGUUGGUUAAGUCCCCAACAGAGGCAACCCNUNNNCUAGUGCCACCAUUUGNUGGNCACUCUANUGAGAACUGCGNNACAACCGNNGANNGGNGGGANNGACUCAGUUCCNNCNUAGGAGGCUCCCACCNUNACAAUGUUCGGUNNAAGNNNNCCACCCC